AUCUUCGGGGCAGGGUGCAAUUCCCGACCGGCGGUGAUCUGCUUGUGCAGUAAGUCCGCGAGCAACGCUUAUAGUUGUUGAGCUGGUGAGAUUCCAGCACCGACAGUACAGUCUGGAUGGAAGAAGAU
RNAcentral lists this non-coding RNA (128 nucleotides) under bovine gut metagenome. Its description in RNAcentral is "FMN riboswitch (RFN element)". It matches the Rfam family "FMN riboswitch aptamer (RFN element)". From Rfam's summary of the family: The RFN element is a highly conserved domain that is found frequently in the 5'-untranslated regions of prokaryotic mRNAs that encode for flavin mononucleotide (FMN) biosynthesis and transport proteins. This element is a metabolite-dependent riboswitch that directly binds FMN in the absence of proteins. The record is from RNAcentral.